CUUGUGCACAUACACUUAAAAAAAAAAAAGAAAAUUAUCCACCCUGUCAUGGCCAUAUCUUAUGCAUCUGUGGAUAGACCUUGGCAUUCUGAUCUCUUGAUCCAAAAGCUGGCUAGCAAUGUGCAAUGUCACCUUUCGAGCAAGGAUGAGGUUUCUACAUCCAGUCGUCAUGAUGAAGAAGAAGCUCGGUGAAAAGUGUAGCUUUUGAAUUGUCUAUGGUCCCACCAUCACCUAAGGUUCCAAGUCAUGGAACAUCAUCACGGAUACAAGUGGCACAAAUGAGUUUUCGCCGCAGAAUAUCCGGCCUUUCCCUUAGAGAUCAGGUGAGAAUCUCAGUCAUCGCAGAGGUGAGCUGCUACUUUGACAUCUGGUUAGGAUGCCUCCCUGAACGCCUCAAGAUGUUGCGGCCACGGCACAAUGAUUUAGUCUUUGUCAUAUUUCAUAGAAUAUGCAAAGAAAACGUUCUCAUUCAUUCACGUUUCCAUUUUGAACUCAAGUAACACUUUCCGAACCAAACAAUAUGUGAGUGAUUUAAUCUUACAUUACAUUAUUAUAUGAAUAUUUUUUGAAAACAUUAUUCUAACUUUUCCCGCCUUUAUGACAAAUCUCCAUUCAUCUACGGUAUCCGUCUGCUUUCCCUGUGCUCCGUUGUCAAGGGAAUGCAGCCAUUUAGGUAGCUCAUGAAUACUAAACACAACAAGUCCUUCAAGGGGCUACAAUACUAAAUAGCUUCAUUGCUACUGUAAUGUAUGGAACUUACUAGGCAUGAGUGGCACUCCAGCAUGAGAAACAUUAUUAUCAUUAUGUUUGCAGUAAUUACCUCAAUCUGUGGUCAAUCCUGCGAGUCCUAUCAAUCCAAUGGCAAUGAAGCAAGAUGAAUAAAGGAACAGUGAUAAACAUGACAGUCAUUCAUCAUCAUCAUCCUCAUGGUUACUGGCGAUCAUUGUUCCUGUCCAUACAUGUUCUUGUCUGCUGACCUUUCAGGAGAACAAAAUAGGCAAAACGUUAACCCAACGACGCUGUCUGAAAUAAAAUCUUGUGUUCUGACAUUAUGUAAACUGACUUUGGAAAUUGUGACACUAAAAUUCUGGUCAGAUUGUUUAACCUUCUGGGCAUUCGAACUUCAAGUCAACACCAAUUAAGAUGUCAAGUGAAGAAAGGGCAAUAUUCCUUCAACAAUGUUGUGAUGUGAGACAAUGUCAAAACAGAGCUGCAGGGACAGGGCAUACUGUAGAUUGCAUCUGGCAUACAUAUAUGGCCCAUAAAUACUAAUUCCAUAUCUUCUUAUCCCAAUGUAUAAUUAAUACAUUGUCAAUUACUUAUGAAGGAUACAAUGAGGCAAGUAUUGUCAACCCAGACAUGAAACAAAUCUAAGCAUGGAAGACAGGCAGAACUACUUGUAUGUAGAAGCGUGUGCGUGUUACAUAUUUGAAUACAGUAUUUAUUUUCUUCUCUUAACCCUCAAGGGCUCCGGUUCAUCUAAAAAGGUGAAUGCCGGCCGGUCUCACUUUUUCACAUGUAGAAAAAGAAUAGAACUCCCAUGGCCUUUGUGCCUAUCUUUUUUUGUGCUGGUCUAAUUCUACAUUGAGGGGAAGCCAAUGCAAGCAUGUCGGCAUUGUCGUAGCACAGCGGAUGUUUGCAUGGCUGUAUUGUAGAUGUGGAAAAAGACAAGCGAUGGUCGUGUUAGGGUGAAUGUUGUGAUCUGAUACGUAAUGCUCUAUCAUGUCCAUCUCACCCAACUAUGUAAUACAGCACUGGGGACUUGUCCAUUAUCAGCAAAUAGCUGUUGUUAUACUCCCUUCACACUCGACUACAUCCAAGCUUUCCUCUCCAUCCCAUUCUCUCAUCUUUCCUCUUUUUAUGCACAGCCAUCCUUGCUCACUAUCAUUUCAUCUGCCCGCAUCAGCUGCACAAUUGCAAUCAAUGCCUUCACUGCAUUUUAGAUUCAAAGGUGGAUAAAAAAAAUGUAUGUCAGUAUAAGCAUGGAGGCAUUUUUUUUCAUGCGUCCAUCUAUCAUGGGAUGUUGUUACCAAGGCAACACUGACAACAUCCAUUGAGCACUGUGUUAGCAAGAAACGCCCACAUAUGGAUGGCCAACAUGCUUUAAGGAGGAAACUAGGUCGAGUGUAAAAGCUGUUGAUUGAUAGAUGUGUGAGCUGGAGCUGGGAAUGAACAGAGGAUCAGAAAAGAAGAGUGGGAGGUCUGUGUCAUUGCGCAGACAUCCUGGAACAUUGGCCAUGGACGGCAUACCUAAUGGCCGCUCGCAUGAAUUAUGACUCACUGCAGCUGUAAGACAAUGAAGGGUACACACGCUUACAAGAUGACAUUGACACAUAGCCUAUUUUGGCCUGCUUUUAAAGGGCUAAAAUCAGAUUUAUUUACAUUCUGCCGUGAACCUGGAGAAAUACUAAUAGUAGAAGUAGAAGCAUCUUGUAGAUUUUUAAAGGAUGCCUAACAAAAGUGCUCUCAUUGAAGGUUUCUUGUUAGUGUGCUGCAAGGCAAAAUUUCAGACCUUCCUGAAGCAAAAGGGAAUAUUUACAUUGACAACAUGGCAAGAUUUUUGUUUGCUUUCGAAUGACAUUUGGUAAAAGAUGACUGAUAUCUCGUCCACUCUCUAUGAGGCACAAUUUGGCAUUUGAGUCAAAUAACACACUCACGCCUCUUUGGAAGGCGGUAGAACCAUAAAUCAACCAUACAUCCAAGACUGUGAAAGCAACUAAAGUAAACCAAGAUUUUUCUAGAGGUAUUUAAAAAGCCCUAGUACUUUGACUAGUGUCUCCAAAAUGGACAACAUUUUGAAUCCUUUGAGACCUCACAGAUCACCAUGACUGAACUGAUUGGUAAACAGAUCCUGUGAAUGUUGUUCUCUCAGUCCAAACUGCUUCUUCUACCGUAGUGUGUUCUCCUCUCUUGGAAUUGUACACUGCAGUAAUCUCUCAUGCACGUUUUAUUUUACACUAGGUGGGUGCUGAUUGGUCACAGCUUUCCGACAAGUAGUAAAUAUCAGCAAAGCAAGUGAUUGGUAUAUGCAGCUGGUCAAAGGUCAAGCAUGUCUUUCCUAAGCACUCAAUGUGAUUUAGUGAUUGAUUUUUCUCACUGCUAAUCUGUGAAGGCUUUGCAAGGAUGCCUCAUUUUUCAUUGGUAAUGGAAGAUUUCAUUCUUAUUUUUAAUGGGAUUUUAAUGUUUAAAUUUAUGGAUUCGGUGUUCCAAUCUUUCAAAGUUGCCCAAACUAUUUUAGCGCUACGUUAAUCACACUUAUAACCAAAAACAAAUCUUGUACACAAGGAAGACCCUAAAUCCAAUCAUUUCUUGCUCUCCUCAUAAACUGCUUAUCUCAGUGCAACAUAUGCUGAGUGCAAAUGUCUUCACCGCUAAUAAACAACUCAAUUUUGUGGUGAGAUGAGGUGAAAAGCGGAGGGCUUCUCACAGUUGUGGCUGUCGAGAGAGCGAGGUAGUUGUGGUGCGUGAGAGCAAGUGGGUUGGCACAACUCUUAAUGGAGGCGAGCAAACAGUUAUCAUCCUAAGUAGCUGACUUAUUUUAAUAUGCUUGCGUGCAAAGGCGUGCAUGGCAGUGUAGAUGCGGAGAGAGAGAUAGAAGGACCGAGGCAAAGCGAUUAAAGAUGAGAAGAAAGUAGGUCAAAAUCCCAUGUUGGAUACUUUAUCAAUUUAUUUAAUAUCAAUUUAUCAACAGCUUGGGUCAUCAACCUGUAAGAUUUGACCGAAUCAUUCAAUGAGAAUGAAUGGUCUAAAGAUUUCUAGUAAAAGUGGGCAAUGAUUUUUGUUCUGUUGUCAAUCGUGGCAUUC
Molecule: long non-coding RNA, 3804 nt
Organism: Syngnathus acus (greater pipefish)
Lineage: Eukaryota; Metazoa; Chordata; Actinopteri; Syngnathiformes; Syngnathidae
Exons: 2
Source: RefSeq, a predicted model, not a curated record